CACUUUUAUUCCGAUCAAUGGCAGCUUAACAUAUGCUUUACUUUGAAUUGCAUAGAUCAAUCUUGAUAGGGUGCCACGGCAAUUAGGUGUGACAUGAGCUGGCUUUGCACCAUUCGUUUAACACCUUCAAGUCAAUGCUAUUGAUCAGCUGCUGAAAGAAUUCGUUCCAUUUUCUUUUCUUUCUAUCAGGAUCUUGUUAGCGGGUGGCCUUCAGUUCACAGUGCUGCCAGGGAAGCCUAUUGAACUCAUGCCAAAAUGGGAGAGUACACAAGGUCAUAUUUCUUCAAUGUGUUUUGUUAUGACAGACCACUCACACCAAUUUCACUGGCUUUAAUAUGUCACUGUCUUACAAACUGAAUUGCUUUCUGACUCAUUUAAGUUAAGCAACAGAUGAGUGGGUGUGAAUCUGGCUUAAGUUCUUGUCUGGGCGAUUUUCUUCAAUGUUCUUUGUGUGCCAGUUCUUUGAGCCCGGCUUCGGCUGGGGAGGGCGGGAUAUAAAUAAAAUUUAUUAUUAUUAUUAUUAUUAUUAUUAUUAUUAUUAUUUAGGAAUCAUAACCAUUUCUCCUAAACUCUUGUGUCCAACUGAAUUGGAAGAACUCUUGCAGGCUGCAGUGCAAUUUAAUUGUGUAGAAUGUAUCAAAUGCAAUUAAAAGAAUCAAAUAAUGACUACAUUACAUCAUAUUAACAACUCCCAUGUAUUCGUUUUGGGAGGAAAACAGGUACUUGGAAAAAGGCAUAAAACCAUUGACCAAAGACCAAUCCUAUGAUAAGAAAAACACUUUCUUGUACUAUGAAGAGUAAUUGAAAGCAAAAUUCAUAAUCCUACUAUAUUUGUCAAUGGCUAGAUGCUUUCCUUAGUCUGGUAGUAUGCCAAACUAUCCCCCCCCCCGAAAAAAAACAGCUAGUGGCAUCAAUGCUUGUACUAGAUGAUUUUUCAUUAACACUUCAGUACUUUAGGGACGCUGGUGGCGCUGUGGUCUGAACCACUGAGCCUAGGGCUUGCCAAUCAAAAGGUUGGCAGUUUGAAUCCCCAUGCGGGGUGAGCUCCCGUUGCUCGGUCCCAGCUCCUGCCCACCUAGCAGUUCGAAAGCACGUCAAAGUGCAAGUAGAUAAAUAGGUACCACUGUGGCGGGAAGGUAAACAGCAUUUCUGUGCACUGCUCUGGUUCACCAGAAGCGGCUUAGUCAUGCUGGCCACUUGCCCCGGAAGCUCGUUUGCAGACAAACGCCAGCUUAUAGAGCGAGAUGAGCGCCGCAACCCCAGAGUUGUUUGCAACUGGACCUAACGGUCAGGGGUACCUUUACCUUUACCCUUACUUCUGUUUGGUUUUACUUUUGAAGAACAAAACAACUUUGAAGUACAAAAAAAUAAUAAUAUUUGUAUUAUUUUCCUUCUCCUUGUUGGUGCAAAAAACAAAAACAAAAAAGAUAUAGAAAGGAGAAUUCCAUGGAUGCCAAAAUCCAAGUUUGGGUCAACUAUUCUUUGGUGAGAGGACUUCAGCAGAAAUUUAAAAUCACAACACAUACCUUCUAUGUUUCUUCCAAAGUUUCCCUCUUCCCCUGCCAUAGAAAAAUACCACACGGUUUUUAAGUUAAAUAUUAUUUGUUUGCAAACUACAGAUUCAUGUGCUUUUCCAUACAGCAUUCAGAAAAAGUUGCAUAGGCAAUAAAAACUUGGCUUAAAUACAAAGUGGGGAAAGUUCCUAAAUUAUUGGUAUAGGAACUCAUGAGUGGCUUGUGAGAGCCAUGCGGUCUGAGCUGGAGCAACCAGCUCAAACCCCUUCACACGUUGAGCUUCUCAGGUGAAGGACAAAAAGACUUGAUAACCUACUUUUUCUCAAGGUGAAUGGAAGUGGACCUAAUUAAGCCUGGCAUUACAACUUACUCUAUGUUAUUAACCCCUUUGUGUGUUAAUUAGACUUUAGCAUGUUAGUUAUAUGAGGCUGGUUUCCCCACACUCUUUAAGUAGGUGCAUGUUGCUCUACUACUCCUUCUACACUAGUACUACCAAAAGAGGGAGGAUGAGUCCAUUGGCCACUUCCUCACUCACACACCCCAUCCGCUGUUCUUGCAGUCUCCCAUAUGUUGGGGGCUGAACCUCUGCAAUGCAGAGCUUGCUAAGGACUAGGAAAAUCUGUCAGUUUCAGUUUCUCUAGGUUUCUCAUUUCCCCUAUAUUAAAUUCAGUUCUAUGCACUUCUUUAUCAGUUUGUGAUUUUUUAAAGGAAGUCCUCAUGACAAUUCGUCAGUGUUUCAGUGUACAUUUUGUCCACAAUGAACAUUUUUAUGUCAUUUUGACUAACAUACACAUUUUUGCAAAACAAUUGCCCCUAAUAUAAUGAAACUUUAUUUUCACUAAGAUAUGCACUUUACCCUAGCACGGGAGAAGUGAUAAGUAUGAAUUUCAAAGGAUGUCUGUGUAUUUGGUUCAGAGGGGGGGGGGGCAAAAUCUGGAAAUUUUACUUUUAAAUGCAAAUUGUUUCUAAGCAUGAAUAAGCAUGAAUACUGUCCUCCCCACACCACCUUGUCACCUGCUGCCCAACACAUCUCAAUGGUGUCCAGCAGGAAACACACACUUUGCCCCCCCCCAUGUUUUUCCCCUCAGGCCCAUCUCUGCAGGGCGGGUGAGCAAAAAAUGCUCUGUUUUCUUUUGUGUGGACAAAGAGAAGAUGGGUGCCAGAAAAAGCAAAACCGAGGGGAGGGACAGAGGGAGGGAGACUUCAGGCAGAGAAGAGAAAGAGCUAUGAAACACCGGAGGGUGGCAGGAAGAAACAAGGGACCCCUAGGAGAACAGCCUUGAAAGAUGCUGCUUUUGGUGGGCUGGUGGGGAAAGUCAAGGCAAACACAGAGGAGGCAGAGGAAGAGAGAUGGGUUUUGGACCUUGCCAAGGCCGUCUUAACCAUAGUUACCAGGGGUGCAAGGCCAAGAGUCCAGUCCCGAGAGUUGGAGUCUGGGGAAGAACCUGCCCAUCAGUCGGAGCACCACGACAGGCUCUUCUGAUGUGGGCUUUUCUGCGCCGCAAGUUCAGGGGCAAGCGAGCCAGUGAAAUGCUGAGGCAGCCAACCGGCUCCGCCCUCCUGCGCACCUGGGAUUGGUGUAGGGCCGUGGAUAGGCCUGCCCAGUGCACACUGCUUACACCAACACCUCCGGCUUGUUUGUUGCACUGGACUCCUUAUGUUUCGUGUUUUCUUUUCCUGAGCAGAGAUAAGCGUGGUGUCAGGUUCCUAAAAAAGGUUGACAACUCUGGGCAACCUGGGGGGAGGGCAGGCGUCGGGCAGAUCUUUGCACCCUGGCACCGCAUAUGCUUAAGACAGCCCUGGACUUUGCCUCGGGUUCUGGCAACCCAUGCUAUGUCACUGCAUCCUGUGAUGGUGAUUACAUGUGGGGAGUGGGGAGAAUGACUGAAUAGGUCUAUAGCAUUAUUUCUGGCAGAGGGGCUCCAGUGUAUGCAUGAACACCAGUUACUCCCCCAUUCAUGAAUGAGCUCAUGAGCAGCCCUCUAAGCAUCAAGAAUUCUAUUUCUAUUUAGCCAAUGGAUCACAGCCGCUGCCCAAGAACUAGACGUCUGUAUACAUGUGAAUGGGCUGGUUUUCUCUUUGGGGCUCAUCCCUUCCAAACUGCAACGGACACUCUUCAUAUAAUCCCCUGUCAUUUAGCAACAGAUGCUGCAUCUAGCCAUUGAGAUAACUUUAAAUGGUUCACAGGGGCCUUUCCACCUUUCAAUCAAUGGAGGAAAAAGUUGUGAAUGAAGCUCAAAGAGGCAUUCUAAUUUAUGUUACGAGCAAGGGAGCUUCAUUGAAACUAAUCAGAUUUUUAUAGUAUUAAUUUG
This 3826-nucleotide long non-coding RNA is filed under the name Podarcis lilfordi (Lilford's wall lizard). The record is from RNAcentral. Lineage: Eukaryota; Metazoa; Chordata; Lepidosauria; Squamata; Lacertidae.